GCCAUGGCUCAGUGGGUGAGCAUUGGUUUGGCAUGCAGAAGGUCCUAGGUUCAAUCCCCCACAUCUUGACCUGGAAGGAGCA
Molecule: transfer RNA, 82 nt
Filed under: Sphaerodactylus townsendi
Lineage: Eukaryota; Metazoa; Chordata; Lepidosauria; Squamata; Sphaerodactylidae
Description: tRNA-Ala
Source: RNAcentral